Molecule: ribosomal RNA, 468 nt
Filed under: uncultured bacterium
Lineage: Bacteria
Description: partial 16S ribosomal RNA
Rfam family: Bacterial small subunit ribosomal RNA
Source: RNAcentral
GACGAACGCUGGCGGCGUGCUUAACACAUGCAAGUCGAACGGAAAGGCCCUGCUUUUGUGGGGUGCUCGAGUGGCGAACGGGUGAGUAUCACGUGAGUAACCUGCCCUUGACUUUGGGAUAACUUCAGGAAACUGGGGCUAAUACCGGAUAGGAGCUCCUGCUGCAUGGUGGGGGUUGGAAAGUUUCGGCGGUUGGGGAUGGACUCGAGGUUUAUCAGCUUGUUGGUGGGGUAGUGGCUUACAAAGGCUUUGACGGGUAGCCGGCCUGGGAGGGUGACCGGCCACAUUGGGCCUGGGGUACGGCCCAUACUCCUACGGGGGGCAGCAGUGGGGAAUAUUGCACAAUGGGCGGAAGCCUGAUGCAGCAACGCCGCGUGCGGGAUGACGGCCUUCGGGUUGUAACCCGCUUUCGCCUGUGAAGCAGCGUGAGUGACGGUAAUGGGUCAAGAAGCACCGGCUAACUACGUG